AACGAACGCUGGCGGCAUGCCUAACACAUGCAAGUCGAACGAGACCUUCGGGUCUAGUGGCGCACGGGUUCGUAACGCGUGGGAACCUUCCUUUAGGUUCGGAAUAACUCAGAGAAAUUUGAGCUAAUACCGGAUGAUGUCUUCGGACCAAAGAUUUAUCGCCUUUAGAUGGUCCCUCGUUGGAUUAGCUAGUUGGUUGGGUAAAGGCAUACCAAGGCGACGAUCCAUAGCUGGUCUGAGAGGAUGAUCAGCCACACUGGGACUGAGACACGGCCCAGACUCCUACGGGAGGCAGCAGUGGGGAAUAUUGGACAAUGGGCGAAAGCCUGAUCCAGCAAUGCCGGGUGAGUGAUGAAGGCAUUAGGGUUGUAAAGCUCUUUUACCCGAGAUGAUAAUGACAGUAUCGGGAGAAUAAGCUCCGGCUAACUCCGUG
This 433-nucleotide ribosomal RNA is filed under the name uncultured bacterium. RNAcentral's name for it is "partial 16S ribosomal RNA". It matches the Rfam family "Bacterial small subunit ribosomal RNA", at positions 29 to 507 of the family's 1533-position model. The record is from RNAcentral.